UACGUAGGGUGCGAGCGUUAAUCGGAAUUACUGGGCGUAAAGCGUGCGCAGGCGGUGAUGUAAGACAGGUGUGAAAUCCCCGGGCUUAACCUGGGAACUGCAUUUGUGACUGCAUCGCUGGAGUGCGCAGAGGGGGAUGGAAUUCCGCGUGUAGCAGUGAAAUGCGUAGAUAUGCGGAGGAACACCGAUGGCGAAGGCAAUCCCCUGGGCC
RNAcentral lists this ribosomal RNA (211 nucleotides) under uncultured bacterium. Its description in RNAcentral is "partial 16S ribosomal RNA". It matches the Rfam family "Bacterial small subunit ribosomal RNA", at positions 524 to 735 of the family's 1533-position model. The record is from RNAcentral.